RNAcentral lists this long non-coding RNA (314 nucleotides) under Mytilus galloprovincialis (Mediterranean mussel). Lineage: Eukaryota; Metazoa; Mollusca; Bivalvia; Mytilida; Mytilidae. The record is from RNAcentral.
GUCUUGCAAUAUAUUUUAAUUUUAAGAGGAAAUUAAUCACUGUUUAGAUCCUAUCGAGUGACGAUAUUUUGUUGAUAUCAAAGCUUUACAGGCUUACAAAUAUACAAAAUGACUUACUUAUCAAACAUUAUUAAAUAUAUGCCGUUAAUUCCGUUCAUAAGUCGUCGUUGCGUCCCGCUAUUCGACUUUGCACAAAAAGUUUUUUUUUCAACCAUAUUAUCCUAAAUACAUUCAUAUAUCGUUAUACUAUAACGACUGUUGUCUUAUUUGUUGUUAGAGUGAAAUUUUGUAAGUUCAAUAAAAUAAACCGCCCA